GGGUUGUGAGGUUAAGCGACUAAGCGUACACGGUGGAUGCCUAGGCAAUCAGAGGCGAUGAAGGACGUGCUAAUCUGCGAUAAGCGUCGGUAAGGUGAUAUGAACCGUUACAACCGACGAUUUCCGAAUGGGGAAACCCAGUGCAAUUCGUUGCACUAUCGUUUGAUGAAUACAUAGUCAAACGAAGCGAACCGGGGGAACUGAAACAUCUCAGUACCCCGAGGAAAAGAAAUCAACCGAGAUUCCCCUAGUAGCGGCGAGCGAACGGGGAGCAGCCCAGAGUCUUAAUCAGCAUUAGCAUCAGGAGAACGGUCUGGAAAGUCCGGCAGUAAAGGGUGAUAGCCCCGUAUCCGAAGGUGUUAGUGUUGUGAACUCGACGAGUAGGGCGGGACACGUGUUAUCCUGUCUGAAUAUGGGGGGACCAUCCUCCAAGGCUAAAUACUCCUGAUUGACCGAUAGUGAACCAGUACCGUGAGGGAAAGGCGAAAAGAACCCCGGCGAGGGGAGUGAAAUAGAACCUGAAACCGUGUACGUACAAGCAGUGGGAGCCUUGAUUUAUCAGGGUGACUGCGUACCUUUUGUAUAAUGGGUCAGCGACUUAUAUUCUGUAGCAAGGUUAACCGUAUAGGGGAGCCGUAGGGAAACCGAGUCUUAACUGGGCGAAUAAGUUGCAGGGUAUAGACCCGAAACCCGGUGAUCUAGCCAUGGGCAGGUUGAAGGUUGGGUAACACUAACUGGAGGACCGAACCGACUAAUGUUGAAAAAUUAGCGGAUGACUUGUGGCUGGGGGUGAAAGGCCAAUCAAACCGGGAGAUAGCUGGUUCUCCCCGAAAGCUAUUUAGGUAGCGCCUCGUGAACUCAUCUUCGGGGGUAGAGCACUGUUUCGACUAGGGGGUCAUCCCGACUUACCAACUCGAUGCAAACUACGAAUACCGAAGAAUGUUAUCACGGGAGACACACGGCGGGUGCUAACGUUCGUCGUGAAGAGGGAAACAACCCAGACCGCCAGCUAAGGUCCCAAAGUCAUAGUUAAGUGGGAAACGAAGUGGGAAGGCUCAGACAGCCAGGAUGUUGGCUUAGAAGCAGCCAUCAUUUAAAGAAAGCGUAAUAGCUCACUGGUCGAGUCGGCCUGCGCGGAAGAUGUAACGGGGCUAAACUAUGCACCGAAGCUGCGGCAGCGAACGUAUCACUUAAACUGAUUAAGUGAUACUCAAAUGUAUCAAAACGAUUGACGGAGCGAAGCGACGUCAAUGCGUCCAACAAAGUCGAGGCGGAAACGUCAGGCAGUCAGUUUAAGGAUACGUUCGUUGGGUAGGGGAGCGUUCUGUAAGCCUGUGAAGGUGUACUGUGAGGUAUGCUGGAGGUAUCAGAAGUGCGAAUGCUGACAUAAGUAACGAUAAUGCGGGUGAAAAACCCGCACGCCGGAAGACCAAGGGUUCCUGUCCAACGUUAAUCGGGGCAGGGUGAGUCGACCCCUAAGGCGAGGCAGAAAUGCGUAGUCGAUGGGAAACGGGUUAAUAUUCCCGUACUGGUGAUAAUUGCGAUGGGGGGACGGAGAAGGCUAGGCUAUCCGGGCGACGGUUGUCCCGGUUUAAGAAUGUAGGCAGGUGAAUUAGGCAAAUCCGGUUCACUACAUGCUGAGGUUCGAUGACGAGUCACUACGGUGAUGAAGUAGCUCAUGCCCCGCUUCCAGGAAAAGCCUCUAAGCUCUAGAUUAUCAUUAAUCGUACCCCAAACCGACACAGGUGGUCAGGUAGAGAAUACUCAGGCGCUUGAGAGAACUCGGGUGAAGGAACUAGGCAAAAUGGUGCCGUAACUUCGGGAGAAGGCACGCUGGCGCUAGGUGAAGUCCCUCGCGGAUGGAGCUGAAGCCAGUCGCAGAUACCAGCUGGCUGCAACUGUUUAUUAAAAACACAGCACUGUGCAAACACGAAAGUGGACGUAUACGGUGUGACGCCUGCCCGGUGCUGGAAGGUUAAUUGAUGGGGUUAUCCGUAAGGAGAAGCUCUUGAUCGAAGCCCCAGUAAACGGCGGCCGUAACUAUAACGGUCCUAAGGUAGCGAAAUUCCUUGUCGGGUAAGUUCCGACCUGCACGAAUGGCGUAAUGAUGGCCAGGCUGUCUCCACCCGAGACUCAGUGAAAUUGAACUCGCUGUGAAGAUGCAGUGUACCCGCGGCAAGACGGAAAGACCCCGUGAACCUUUACUAUAGCUUGACACUGAACAUUGAGCCUUGAUGUGUAGGAUAGGUGGGAGGCUUCGAAGCGUGGACGCCAGUCUGCGUGGAGCCAACCUUGAAAUACCACCCUUUAAUGUUUGAUGUUCUAACGUUGCCCCAUUAUCUGGGGUGCGGACAGUGUCUGGUGGGUAGUUUGACUGGGGCGGUCUCCUCCCAAAGAGUAACGGAGGAGCACGAAGGUUGGCUAAGCAUGGUCGGACAUCAUGCGGUUAGUGCAAAGGCAUAAGCCAGCUUGACUGCGAGAGUGACGGCUCGAGCAGGUACGAAAGUAGGUCUUAGUGAUCCGGUGGUUCUGAAUGGAAGGGCCAUCGCUCAACGGAUAAAAGGUACUCCGGGGAUAACAGGCUGAUACCGCCCAAGAGUUCAUAUCGACGGCGGUGUUUGGCACCUCGAUGUCGGCUCAUCACAUCCUGGGGCUGAAGUAGGUCCCAAGGGUACGGCUGUUCGCCGUUUAAAGUGGUACGCGAGCUGGGUUUAGAACGUCGUGAGACAGUUCGGUCCCUAUCUGCCGUGGGCGUUGGAAGAUUGAAAGGGGCUGCUCCUAGUACGAGAGGACCGGAGUGGACGCACCACUGGUGUUCGGGUUGUCAUGCCAAUGGCAUUGCCCGGUAGCUAAGUGCGGAAGAGAUAACCGCUGAAAGCAUCUAAGCGGGAAACUUGCCUUGAGAUGAGUCUUCCCUGACCCUUUAAGGGUCCUAAAGGAACGUUUAAGACUAAGACGUUGAUAGGUUGGGUGUGUAAGCAUAGCGAUAUGUUGAGCUAACCAAUACUAAUGAACCGUGAGGCUUAACCUGACAACACCGAAGGUGUUUUAG
RNAcentral lists this ribosomal RNA (3052 nucleotides) under Providencia rettgeri. RNAcentral's name for it is "23S ribosomal RNA". It matches the Rfam family "Bacterial large subunit ribosomal RNA". Lineage: Bacteria; Pseudomonadati; Pseudomonadota; Gammaproteobacteria; Enterobacterales; Morganellaceae. The record is from RNAcentral.